Molecule: ribosomal RNA, 497 nt
Filed under: uncultured bacterium
Lineage: Bacteria
Description: partial 16S ribosomal RNA
Rfam family: Bacterial small subunit ribosomal RNA
Source: RNAcentral
GAUGAACGCUGGCGGCGUGCCUAAUACAUGCAAGUCGAGCGAACGGACGAGAAGCUUGCUCCUCUGAUGUUAGCGGCGGACGGGUGAGUAACACGUGGAUAACCUACCUAUAAGACUGGGAUAACUUCGGGAAACCGGAGCUAAUACCGGAUAAUAUUUUGAACCGCAUGGUUCAAAAGUGAAAGACGGUUUUGCUGUCACUUAUAGAUGGAUCCGCGCUGCAUUAGCUAGUUGGUAAGGUAACGGCUUACCAAGGCAACGAUGCAUAGCCGACCUGAGAGGGUGAUCGGCCACACUGGAACUGAGACACGGUCCAGACUCCUACGGGAGGCAGCAGUAGGGAAUCUUCCGCAAUGGGCGAAAGCCUGACGGAGCAACGCCGCGUGAGUGAUGAAGGUCUUCGGAUCGUAAAACUCUGUUAUUAGGGAAGAACAAAUGUGUAAGUAACUAUGCACGUCUUGACGGUACCUAAUCAGAAAGCCACGGCUAACUACGUG